RNAcentral lists this long non-coding RNA (1151 nucleotides) under Gorilla gorilla (western gorilla). Its description in RNAcentral is "long non-coding RNA NONGGOT007819". Lineage: Eukaryota; Metazoa; Chordata; Mammalia; Primates; Hominidae. The record is from RNAcentral.
GGGGAUUUCCAAGCUGGAAAUUCAAACAGCUCAGCACGGAAUAGGCUCCAACAGGGUCAGGUAACGGAAAUAACAAGAUGGUAAGUUAUUCCAGGGAAAGGGCAAUUUUCCUCAUACGCUGCCUGACUCUGAGAACACUGUGAUCAUGGUAGAAAUUGGAGGGUCAGAGCUGGUGUCUAGGGAAAGAGAAAGGAAGGCACUGUGCCCGCUGCUGUCAGUGCAGCCCCAGGUGUGAGAGAGGGUGUGAGGUCAAUCCCAGGCUGGGCCCACAGCCGGCCACGAGCAGGCACAUCCUCGCUAGAGGCCCAGGACCUGCCACCAGCCACAGCUGAAGAGGCUGGGGCGUCAAGGCAGAAAGCCAACAUCCCGGAGUCAUACAGAUGCACGUUCUCUUCCCAGCUCUGGCACAUACCAGCUGUGUGACCUUAAUCAACGUAGAAGUGUCUUGUAAACUUCGAUGACUCGGUGCUGUGGAAGUAAGGAGACCUCUUUGUCCCCACACUGCCUGACCCUGGCAUAUUGGAGCUGCCUCCUUCUCCAGCCCCAGACAGCCCUCCCAGCUUCUUCUUGAAUCUGCAGCCGGUUACCCCUGGGGAGAACAAGCCUUGCUGGUGGAGGGGAGAUAAACAAGCUCACCAAAUCAUUAUUCUUAAUUUGCAGGAAGGCCAAAGCUCCCUCUGAGCCGAGCUCUAUUCUAAAGACAUUUUUUACUGUUUAGAAGUCUUUGAUUCCUUUACUUCCCAGCAACUGGCUGAGUUCCCAGGGCUGAAGUUGCCUUGAAGUUUGACUGCUGAGUAAGAAAAAGAGUUUUCCUCUGUUUUGUUGUUAAUCCAGAGUUUGAGCUGGGAGCAUAAAGAUUUCAAACAUACCGAAUAGGAUUUCUUCAACUAGAUGUUUUGGAAAAUACAAAUAUGAGAUCUGAGAAGAACAGAUACAAAAGAAAAGAAGUCUCAGUUCCAGGCUAAGGUGGACGGAAAGGGGGUGCCCUAAGGAGGCUCGAACCUGAGACAGUCUGUGAACCAGAAAAACCUCCCCUAGAGUUUGGGGGCCAGCGUGCAGCUGCUCACAUUUUUAUUUUGCUAAAUUAAGAAUAUAAAAUAAGAACUAUUGGAUAAGAUCACCCUUAUUUUAGAAAAGAGAGGGGAAAAGUC